This 432-nucleotide ribosomal RNA is filed under the name uncultured bacterium. RNAcentral's name for it is "partial 16S ribosomal RNA". It matches the Rfam family "Bacterial small subunit ribosomal RNA", at positions 29 to 507 of the family's 1533-position model. The record is from RNAcentral.
ACGAACGCUGGCGGCAGGCCUAACCCAUGCAAGUCGAGCGCGCCCUUCGGGGUGAGCGGCGGACGGGUGAGUCACGCGUGGGAACGUGCCCUUCUCUGCGGAAUAGCCUCGGGAAACUGAGAGUAAUACCGCAUACGCCCUUUGGGGGAAAGAUUUAUCGGAGAAGGAUCGGCCCGCGUUGGAUUAGGUAGUUGGUGGGGUAAUGGCCCACCAAGCCGACGAUCCAUAGCUGGUUUGAGAGGAUGAUCAGCCACACUGGGACUGAGACACGGCCCAGACUCCUACGGGAGGCAGCAGUGGGGAAUCUUAGACAAUGGGGGCAACCCUGAUCUAGCCAUGCCGCGUGAGUGAUGAAGGCCUUAGGGUUGUAAAGCUCUUUCAGCUGGGAAGAUAAUGACGGUACCAGCAGAAGAAGCCCCGGCUAACUCCGUG